This 322-nucleotide long non-coding RNA is filed under the name Prunus dulcis (almond). RNAcentral describes it as "sRNA ncRNA". Lineage: Eukaryota; Viridiplantae; Streptophyta; Magnoliopsida; Rosales; Rosaceae. The record is from RNAcentral.
AGCAUCGCGCGGGCUUUCUUGCUAGUGUAUACGAUGACUGAGAGGACAUGAGACGACGAGAGUAAAGAAGGGAAGUGAGGGAUAUGAGCUAUCUAAUUCAGCACACCUACCUACAUGUUAUUCGUUCCCUUCAUUAUUUCACCAACAAUGAAUAUGAACUGAUCAACUUAAAUUUUUUGCUGAACCAAACAAAAGUAACAUAAAAAGUCCAACUUUUUAUACUGAAUUAAUUAAACAGAUGAAUAAAGACACCUUUAUAUUAUACAUGGGAGGAAAAUCAAUCAUGAAAGAUAGGGCAAUAACUAUAUAGUGCCACAAUGCG